AACGAACGCUGGCGGCAGGCCUAACACAUGCAAGUCGAACGCCGUAGCAAUACGGAGUGGCGAACGGGUGAGUAACGCGUGGGUGACCUACCUUCGAGUGGGGGAUAACGUCCCGAAAGGGACGCUAAUACCGCAUAACAUCCUGCUUUUGAAUGGGUGGAGAUCAAAGCCGGGGAUCGCAAGACCUGGCGCUUGAUGAGGGGCCCGCGUCUGAUUAGCUAGUUGGUGAGGAACGGCCCACCAAGGCAACGAUCAGUAUCCGGCCUGAGAGGGCGACCGGCCACACUGGGACUGAGACACGGCCCAGACUCCUACGGGAGGCAGCAGUGGGGAAUCUUGCGCAAUGGGCGAAAGCCUGACGCAGCGACGCCGCGUGAGGGAUGACGGCCUGGU
This 393-nucleotide ribosomal RNA is filed under the name uncultured bacterium. RNAcentral's name for it is "bacterial SSU rRNA". It matches the Rfam family "Bacterial small subunit ribosomal RNA", at positions 29 to 420 of the family's 1533-position model. The record is from RNAcentral.